CGCCGGGGAGGACACCGCCCCCCGCACAGCGCGGCCGCUGGGCGGCGCCAACGGGGCGCGGGACGAGGGAUGAGGGGAGCGGGGCUGUAAGGAAGGGUUUUCCAGCCGCAGUCAGCGCUGGCAUCGUGGCACGGCCGGAGCGCGGCCCCUUCGGCUCAGCGCAAUCAAACUAGUCAAGCCCAGGCUGCUGGCAGGAAAGGGUCUUUUUGAGUACACUCUG
This is a long non-coding RNA of Lepidothrix coronata (blue-crowned manakin), 220 nucleotides long. RefSeq lists it as uncharacterized. The transcript is spliced from 3 exons. The record is from RefSeq and is a predicted model, not a curated record. Lineage: Eukaryota; Metazoa; Chordata; Aves; Passeriformes; Pipridae.